Molecule: ribosomal RNA, 511 nt
Filed under: uncultured Glomus
Lineage: Eukaryota; Fungi; Glomeromycota; Glomeromycetes; Glomerales; Glomeraceae
Description: SSU rRNA
Rfam family: Eukaryotic small subunit ribosomal RNA
Source: RNAcentral
AGCAGCCGCGGUAAUUCCAGCUCCAAUAGCGUAUAUUAAAGUUGUUGCAGUUAAAAAGCUCGUAGUUGAACUUCGGGGUCUACCCAUUGGUCAGGCUUAAUUGUCUGCACUGGUGAGAUGGAUCUCUACCUUCUGAGGAACUUUCAUGCCAUUUAUUUGGUGUGGUUGGAAAUCAGGACUGUUACUUUGAAAAAAUUAGAGUGUUUAAAGCAGACUAUCGUCUGAAUACAUUAGCAUGGAAUAAUGAAAUAGGACGGACUGAUUCUAUUUCGUUGGUUUCUAGGAUCACCGUAAUGAUUAAUAGGGAUAGUUGGGGGCGUUAGUAUUCAAUUGUCAGAGGUGAAAUUCUUGGAUUUAUUGAAGACUAACUACUGCGAAAGCAUUUGCCAAGGAUGUUUUCAUUAAUCAAGAACGAAAGUUAGGGGAUCGAAGACGAUCAGAUACCGUCGUAGUCUUAACCAUAAACUAUGCCGACUAGGGGAUCGGACGAAGUUAAUUUUAUAAUGACGCG